Molecule: ribosomal RNA, 738 nt
Filed under: Lodderomyces oxycetoniae
Lineage: Eukaryota; Fungi; Ascomycota; Pichiomycetes; Serinales; Debaryomycetaceae
Description: LSU rRNA
Rfam family: Eukaryotic large subunit ribosomal RNA
Source: RNAcentral
GCAUAUCAAUAAGCGGAGGAAAAGAAACCAACAGGGAUUGCCUUAGUAGCGGCGAGUGAAGCGGCAAAAGCUCAAAUUUGAAAUCUGGCACUUUCAGUGUCCGAGUUGUAAUUUGAAGAAGGUAUCUUUGGGUUUAGCUCUUGUCUAUGUUUCUUGGAACAGAACGUCACAGAGGGUGAGAAUCCCGUGCGAUGAGAUGUCUAAACCUAUGUAAAGUUCCUUCGAAGAGUCGAGUUGUUUGGGAAUGCAGCUCUAAGUGGGUGGUAAAUUCCAUCUAAAGCUAAAUAUUGGCGAGAGACCGAUAGCGAACAAGUACAGUGAUGGAAAGAUGAAAAGAACUUUGAAAAGAGAGUGAAAAAGUACGUGAAAUUGUUGAAAGGGAAGGGCUUGAGAUCAGACUUGGUAUUUUGUAUGUUGUUCUCUUCGGGGGGCGGCCUCUACAGUUUACCGGGCCAGCAUCAGUUUGAGCGGUAGGACAAUUGCAAAGGAAUGUGGCUUGGCUUCGGUUGAGUGUUAUAGCCUUUGUCGAUACUGCCAGCUUAGACUGAGGACUGCGGCUUCGGCCUAGGAUGCUGGCAUAAUGAUCUUAAGUCGCCCGUCUUGAAACACGGACCAAGGAGUCUAACGUCUAUGCGAGUGUUUGGGUGUAAAACCCGUACGCGUAAUGAAAGUGAACGUAGGUAGGACCUCUUCGGAGUGCACUAUCGACCGAUCCUGAUGUCUUCGGAUGGAUUUGAG